GAAGUAAAAGUCGUAACAAGGUUUCGUAGGUGAACCUGCGGAAGGAUCAUUAAUAAUGGUCUACGUUUUAAGUAGACACUUAAUAAUCCUACCUUGUGAAUUGUUGAUUUGAAAUAAUUUUUUAAAAUUAUUGAUUGUCUUUCCCUGUUGAAUAGAAUGUUUUCGAACAUGAAAUUCGCAGGGAGUGUCAGUAAUUUUUAAAAAGACCUUUUUAAAAUUAACUUUUGUAUUCAUUUGUCUAAAAUUAUUUUUAUAAUAUAAAAACAACUUUUGACAAUGGAUCUCUUGGUUCUCGCAACGAUGAAGAACGCAGCAAAAUGCGAUAAGUAGUGUGAAUUGCAGAAUACGUGAAUCAUCGAAUCUUCGAACGCAUAUUGCACUUUUUAGUUUACUAAAAAAGUAUGUCUGUUUGAGUAUCAGUAAAUAUUCUCAUAAAAACUAUGUUUUUAUGGUUAUGAGUGUUCUACAACGAUACAAGUUGUUUCACUUUAAAUUUUUUAAAUUUGAAUUUUCUAAUUUAAAAUAAAUUGGAUAAAAUUUCCGUAAAAAGGAAUAACCUAAACAAUUUUAGUUUUUGAUUAGAAUUUUCAUUAUAAAGGAAAUUUAAUAAUAACUUGAUCUCAAUCAGAUAAGAGUACCGCUGAACUUAAGCAUAUCAAUAAGCGGAGGAAAAGAACUAACAAGGAUUCCCUUAGUAACGGCGAGUGAAGCGGAAGAGCUCAAAUUUGAAAUCUUCAAGGUUUACCUGACGAAUUGUAGUUUAAAGAAGUGUUUCUGUUGAAGUUUUGGUAAAAGUUCUUUGGAAUAGGACAUCAUAGAGGGUGAGAAUCCCGUAUUUGACCAUUAUUUUCAGCUGUGUGAUACACUUCAAAGAGUCGGAUUGUUGGGAAUGCAGUCCAAGAUGGUGGUAAAUUUCAUCUAAAGCUAAAUAUUGGCGAGAGACCGAUAGCGAACAAGUACCGUGAGGAAGAUGAAAAGAACUUUGAAAGAGAGUUAAACAGUACGUGAAAUUGUCAGAAGGAAGCGUUUGACACCAGUGUUGUUUCUCGAAAUCAAUUAAAAAGAGUUGGAUUUGUGUUGUAUGACCUUAACAGCUUGCUUCACUCUUUCCUGCUUUUUUAAUGCACUUUUCGUUUAACAAGUCAACAUCAGUUCUUUUGUUGUAAAAGGGUCAUUGGAAGGUGGCUUUCUCUUCGAGAAAGUGUUUAUAGCCUUUGAUCUCUGCAAUCGGAGAGACUGAGGUCUGCAGCGUAGAUCCUUCGGGUUAGAUACAUUUGUGCUAAGCUACAGCUUUUCAUAGACACUUGUUGACUAUGUUAGUCUUGUAAUUACCCGUUAUGCUAUUUUACCUACGCUUAGGAUG
Molecule: unclassified non-coding RNA, 1363 nt
Filed under: uncultured Neocallimastigales
Lineage: Eukaryota; Fungi; Neocallimastigomycota; Neocallimastigomycetes; Neocallimastigales
Description: partial contains small subunit ribosomal RNA, internal transcribed spacer 1, 5.8S ribosomal RNA, internal transcribed spacer 2, and large subunit ribosomal RNA
Rfam family: Eukaryotic large subunit ribosomal RNA (bases 616-1363)
Source: RNAcentral